ACAUGAAGAACUUAAAAAAAUACAAAGGAACAAGCUAAUCUAAUUAUUGAAAAGUUAACGAAAUUUCUAGUCGGGUAAGGUCUGAGAUUUGUUGGUGGACGUGAAUUGGUGGAGGGUCUUUGGGCAGAAAUUCCAAGGUGCAGGUGCAGGUGAACGCUAGAGCAUUACGAGACUAUGCUGAAGUUAUCCAGAUGUGGAGAAUUCAUCCGGACUUGGGCUUGUGAUGACUUUUGAAGAAAGACUUGGAUUCUCAUUCUCCAAGUUGGGUAGGUCGUCACUACUUCGAGGACAAUGCCAUAUUUUAGCUUUGAUUAGUCUUAAAGACAAUAUGUUCAUUUCCUUUCAUUUGAGUACUAAAGAUUGUAUAGCCUCUAAGUGGCUUUUAUGGUAUUGAUGUAUGGGAUAUGACCAGUUGUCACACUCUUUUUUUAGAUGGUUAUGAUAUGAGACAUCCGGUUUUAAGACAAUAUUAUAUUCUAUAUAUGUAUAUGUCCAAUAAAAGUAGAAGACUUGCAA
Molecule: long non-coding RNA, 516 nt
Organism: Solanum lycopersicum (tomato)
Lineage: Eukaryota; Viridiplantae; Streptophyta; Magnoliopsida; Solanales; Solanaceae
Source: RefSeq, a predicted model, not a curated record